Molecule: long non-coding RNA, 399 nt
Filed under: Cyanistes caeruleus (blue tit)
Lineage: Eukaryota; Metazoa; Chordata; Aves; Passeriformes; Paridae
Description: lncRNA (ENSCCEG00000001190.1)
Source: RNAcentral
AUGCUCAGCUCUAUGGGCCACACACCAACAGGGUACAGGCAAGUGAAUUUUUUUCCUUUGCAAACAAGAGAGACCCAGUCAAAAAAGCUGCAGUUCAGUUUGUGGACAAGUCUUGGGGGCAAGAUAAAAAGGAAAAAGCAGCAAGGUUUAAGAAACGUUGGCUGGCAACACAGGUUAAAAAUGGAGUCUGAAGACAGCUUUUUCAGAAGAUGCUGCUACGGACUUUUAGUGACAGUUGAUCUCAACACAACCCAGGUGUUUUCUACCCCCUUCAUCAUCACUUUGCUUUCAGCUCCAGCCAGCAGAAGGCUCCAGGCUGUGCCAGAUCAGACUUCCCUGUUUUUUCCCCCUGUCAGAAGUUCUUGGGGAAGCUACAGAGCAGCCAGGCCAGUGUUGUGA